GGUCUUGUGUUCAUUUUGUGAUUAUAGAAUGCAAUUCUAUAGGGGUGAGUUGAGUUGCUUACCAAGGCCU
RNAcentral lists this transfer RNA (70 nucleotides) under Macrotermes carbonarius. RNAcentral describes it as "tRNA-Cys". The record is from RNAcentral. Lineage: Eukaryota; Metazoa; Arthropoda; Insecta; Blattodea; Termitidae.